AACUAGGAGGUUGGCUCAGAAGCAGCCACCCUUCAAAGAGUGCGUAACAGCUCACUAGUCGAGUGACCCUGCGCCGAAAAUGUACCGGGGCUAAGCAUACUACCGAAGCUGCGGAUUUGUAGAGAUACAAGUGGUAGGGGAGCGUUGCAUGCACGUGGAAGCCAUAUCGUGAGGAGUGGUGGAGAGCAUGGAAGUGAGAAUGCCGGUGUGAGUAGCGAGAUGUAGGUGAGAAUCCUACACACCGAUAGCCCAAGGAUUCCAGGGGAAGGUUCGUCCGCCCUGGGUAAGUCGGGACCUAACGCGAGGCCGAAAGGCGUAGUGGAUGGAAAACAGGCAGAUAUUCCUGUACCCGCGAUGGGAAGUGAAGGAAUGACGGAGAAGGCUAGCAUGACCCACUGAAUGGAUUGUGGGCGAAGCGGAGCAGCAGGUAUGUAGUGAAAUGCGCAUACGAAAUGCAGGACGUGAUAGGUAAGUGAACGUUUCGACAAGUAACGAAGCAUGUGAGGUCAGCUUCCAAGAAAAGUUUCUAAGCGAUUAAUCCCAUAGCGGCCCGUACCAAAACCGACACAGGUGGGCAAGGAGAGGAUCCUGAGGUGAGCGAGAGAACUGUUGCCAAGGAACUCGGCAAAAUGACUCCGUAAGUUAGCGAUAAGGAGUGCUAUGUAAAAGUAAGCCGCAGUGAAGAGGCCCAAGCGACUGUUUAACUAAAACACAGCUCUCUGCGAAGUCGCAAGACGAAGUAUAGGGGGUGACGCCUGCCCGGUGCUGGAAGGUUAAGAGGAUUUGUCAGUCGCAAGAUGAAGCAAUGAAUUGAAGCCCCAGUGAACGGCGGCCGUAACUAUAACGGUCCUAAGGUAGCGAAAUUCCUUGUCAGGUAAGUUCUGACCCGCACGAAAGGCGUAACGAUUUGGGCGCUGUCUCGGCAGCAGACUCGGUGAAAUCUUAGUACCUGUGAAAAUGCAGGUUACCCGCAACUAGACGGAAAGACCCCAUGGAGCUUUACUGUAGCUUGAUAUUGAGCUUUGAUCAGAGAUGUACAGGAUAGGUGGGAGACGAAGAGACGUGCACGCCAGUGUACGAGGAGUCGACGUUGGGAUACCACUCUUGUCUGAUUGAAGUUCUAACCUACACCCAUGAACUGGGUGAGGGACCGUGUCAGGCAGGCAGUUUGACUGGGGCGGUCGCCUCCUAAAGAGUAACGGAGGCGCCCAAAGGUACGCUCAGAUUGGAUGGAAAUCAAUCGACGAGUGCAAAUGCAGAAGCGUGCUUGACUGUGAGACAAACAAGUCGAACAGGGACGAAAGUCGGGAUUAGUGAUCCGGCGGUGCCGAAUGGAAGGGCCGUCGCUCAACGGAUAAAAGCUACCCUGGGGAUAACAGGCUGAUCUCGCCCAAGAGUUCACAUCGACGGCGAGGUUUGGCACCUCGAUGUCGGCUCAUCGCAUCCUGGAGCUGAAUUCGGUUCCAAGGGUUGGGCUGUCCGCCCAUUAAAGCGGUACGCGAGCUGGGUUCAGAACGUCGUGAGACAGUUCGGUCCCUAUCUGUUGUGGGCGAUGGAGAUUUGAGGAGAGCUGUCCUUAGUACGAGAGGACCGGGAUGGACCUACCGCUGGUGCACCAGUUGUUCCGCCAGGAGCAUAGCUGGGUAGCUAAGUAGGGAAGGGAUAAGCGCUGAAAGCAUCUAAGCGCGAAGCCUACUCCAAGAUGAGAUCUCCCAUGCACAAGAUGCAGUAAGACCCCUUGA
This 1742-nucleotide ribosomal RNA is filed under the name human gut metagenome. RNAcentral describes it as "bacterial LSU rRNA". It matches the Rfam family "Bacterial large subunit ribosomal RNA", at positions 1091 to 2841 of the family's 2925-position model. The record is from RNAcentral.